UAGGGAAUCUUCGGCAAUGGACGAAAGUCUGACCGAGCAACGCCGCGUGAGUGAAGAAGGUUUUCGGAUCGUAAAACUCUGUUGUUAGAGAAGAACAAGGACGUUAGUAACUGAACGUCCCCUGACGGUAUCUAACCAGAAAGCCACGGCUAACUACGUGCCAGCAGCCGCGGUAAUACGUAGGUGGCAAGCGUUGUCCGGAUUUAUUGGGCGUAAAGCGAGCGCAGGCGGUUUCUUAAGUCUGAUGUGAAAGCCCCCGGCUCAACCGGGGAGGGUCAUUGGAAACUGGGAGACUUGAGUGCAGAAGAGGAGACAGGAAUUCCAUGUGUAGCGGUGAAAUGCGUAGAUAUAUGGAGGAACACCAGUGGCGAAGGCGGCUCUCUGGUCUGUAACUGACGCUGAGGCUCGAAAGCGUGGGGAGCAAACAGG
This 429-nucleotide ribosomal RNA is filed under the name Gemmatimonadota bacterium. Its description in RNAcentral is "Gemmatimonadetes bacterium partial 16S ribosomal RNA". It matches the Rfam family "Bacterial small subunit ribosomal RNA", at positions 355 to 776 of the family's 1533-position model. Lineage: Bacteria; Pseudomonadati; Gemmatimonadota. The record is from RNAcentral.